CACCCGAUGACUGAAAGCAAGUGUAGGUCUUUUAAACCUAAGAUAGUAAGGCGUCUACUUCAGGUGA
This 67-nucleotide transfer RNA is filed under the name Thalassina squamifera. RNAcentral's name for it is "tRNA-Lys". The record is from RNAcentral. Lineage: Eukaryota; Metazoa; Arthropoda; Malacostraca; Decapoda; Thalassinidae.